Molecule: ribosomal RNA, 1401 nt
Filed under: uncultured bacterium
Lineage: Bacteria
Description: partial 16S ribosomal RNA
Rfam family: Bacterial small subunit ribosomal RNA
Source: RNAcentral
AGAGUUUGAUCCUGGCUCAGGAUGAACGCUGGCGGCGUGCUUAACACAUGCAAGUCGAGCGAAGCACCUGGACGGAUUUCUUCGGAUUGAAGUCUGGGCGACUGAGCGGCGGACGGGUGAGUAACGCGUGGGUAACCUGCCUCAUACAGGGGGAUAACAGUUAGAAAUGACUGCUAAUACCGCAUAAGCGCACGAAGGCGCAUGCCUUUGUGUGAAAAACUCCGGUGGUAUGAGAUGGACCCGCGUUAGAUUAGCCAGUUGGCAGGGUAACGGCCUACCAAAGCGACGAUCUAUAGCCGGCCUGAGAGGGCGACCGGCCACAUUGGGACUGAGACACGGCCCAAACUCCUACGGGAGGCAGCAGUGGGGAAUAUUGCACAAUGGGGGAAACCCUGAUGCAGCGACGCCGCGUGAGCGAAGAAGUAUUUCGGUAUGUAAAGCUCUAUCAGCAGGGAAGAAAAUGACGGUACCUGACUAAGAAGCCCCGGCUAACUACGUGCCAGCAGCCGCGGUAAUACGUAGGGGGCAAGCGUUAUCCGGAUUUACUGGGUGUAAAGGGAGCGUAGACGGCUCUGCAAGUCUGGAGUGAAAACCCGGGGCUCAACCCUGGGACUGCUUUGGAAACUGUGGAGCUUGAGUACCGGAGGGGUAAGCGGAAUUCCUAGUGUAGCGGUGAAAUGCGUAGACAUUAGGAAGAACACCAGUGGCGAAGGCGACUUUCUGGACGAAAACAAACGCUCUUGAGCGCAAACCACCGGAGCGAACGGGAUUAUAUACCCCGGUAGUCCUGGCCGUAAACGAUGGGUACUAGGUGUAGGAGGUAUCGACCCCCUUCUGUGCCGGAGUUAACGCAAUAAGUACCCCCCCUGGGGGAGUACGACCGCCAGGGUGGAAACUCAAAAGGAAUUGACGGGGGGCCCGCACAAGCGGGUGGAAGUAUGUGGGUUUAAUUCGACGCAACCGCGAAAAAACCUUACCAGGUCUUGACAUUGAUGGACAGAACUAGAGAUAGUUCCUCUUCUUCGGAAGCCAGAAAACAGGUGGUGCACGGUUGUCGUCAGCUCGUGUCGUGAGAUGUUGGGUUAAGUCCCGCAACGAGCGCAACCCCUAUCUUAUGUUGCCAGCACUUCGGGUGGGAACUCAUGAGAGACUGCCGCAGACAAUGCAGAGGAAGGCGGGGAUGACGUCAAAUCAUCAUGCCCCUUAUGACCUGGGCUACACACGUACUACAAUGGGAGUUAAUAGACGGAAGCGAAGCCGCGAGGUGGAGCAAACCCGAGAAACACUCUCUCAGUUCGGAUCGUAGGCUGCAACUCGCCUACGUGAAGUCGGAAUCGCUAGUAAUCGCAGGUCAGCAUACUGCGGUGAAUACGUUCCCGGGCCUUGUACACACCGCCCGUC